This 671-nucleotide ribosomal RNA is filed under the name uncultured bacterium. Its description in RNAcentral is "bacterial SSU rRNA". It matches the Rfam family "Bacterial small subunit ribosomal RNA", at positions 51 to 719 of the family's 1533-position model. The record is from RNAcentral.
ACACAUGCAGUCGAGCGGAUGAAGGAGCUUGCUCCUGGAUUCAGCGGCGGACGGGUGAGUAAUGCCUAGGAAUCUGCCUGGUAGUGGGGGACAACGUUUCGGGAGGAACGCUAAUACCGCAUACGUCCUACGGGAGAAAGCAGGGGACCUUCGAGCCUUGCGCUAUCAGAUGAGCCUAGGUCGGAUUAGCUAGUUGGUGAGGUAAUGGCUCACCAAGGCGACGAUCCGUAACUGGUCUGAGAGGAUGAUCAGUCACACUGGAACUGAGACACGGUCCAGACUCCUACGGGAGGCAGCAGUGGGGAAUAUUGGGCAAUGGGCGAAAGCCUGAUCCAGCCAUGCCGCGUGUGUGAAGAAGGUCUUCGGAUUGUAAAGCACUUUAAGUUGGGAGGAAGGGUUGUAGAUUAAUACUCUGCAAUUUUGACGUUACCGACAGAAUAAGCACCGGCUAACUCUGUGCCAGCAGCCGCGGUAAUACAGAGGGUGCAAGCGUUAAUCGGAAUUACUGGGCGUAAAGCGCGCGUAGGUGGGUUGUUAAGUUGGAUGUGAAAUCCCCGGGCUCAACCUGGGAACUGCAUCCAAAACUGGCAAGCUAGAGUAUGGUAGAGGGUGGUGGAAUUUCCUGUGUAGCGGUGAAAUGCGUAGAUAUAGGAAGGAACACCAGUGGCGAA